This 492-nucleotide ribosomal RNA is filed under the name uncultured bacterium. RNAcentral's name for it is "partial 16S ribosomal RNA". It matches the Rfam family "Bacterial small subunit ribosomal RNA", at positions 29 to 507 of the family's 1533-position model. The record is from RNAcentral.
AGUGAACGCUGGCGGUAGGCCUAACACAUGCAAGUCGAACGGCAGCACAGUAAGAGCUUGCUCUUACGGGUGGCGAGUGGCGGACGGGUGAGGAAUACAUCGGAAUCUACUUUUUCGUGGGGGAUAACGUAGGGAAACUUACGCUAAUACCGCAUACGACCUACGGGUGAAAGCAGGGGAUCUUCGGACCUUGCGCGAUUGAAUGAGCCGAUGUCGGAUUAGCUAGUUGGCGGGGUAAAGGCCCACCAAGGCGACGAUCCGUAGCUGGUCUGAGAGGAUGAGCAGCCACACUGGAACUGAGACACGGUCCAGACUCCUACGGGAGGCAGCAGUGGGGAAUAUUGGACAAUGGGCGCAAGCCUGAUCCAGCCAUGCCGCGUGGGUGAAGAAGGCCUUCGGGUUGUAAAGCCCUUUUGUUGGGAAAGAAAAGCAGCAGGUUAAUACCCCGCUGUUCUGACGGUACCCAAAGAAUAAGCACCGGCUAACUUCGUG